UAGGGAAUAUUGGACAAUGGGCGCAAGCCUGAUCCAGCCAUGCCGCGUGAUAGAUGAAGGCCCUCUGGGUUGUAAAUAUCUUUUAUCUGGGAAGAAACUCCUCUAUUCUUAGAGGCCUGACGGUACCAGAGGAAUAAGCACCGGCUAACUCCGUGCCAGCAGCCGCGGUAAUACGGAGGGUGCAAGCGUUAUCCGGAUUCACUGGGUUUAAAGGGUGCGUAGGCGGGCUGAUAAGUCAGUGGUGAAAGCUCCGAGCUUAACUUGGAAACUGCCAUUGAUACUGCCAGUCUUGAAUGUCGUAGAGGUAAGCGGAAUGUUGCAUGUAGCGGUGAAAUGCUUAGAUAUGUUACAGAACACCAAUUGCGAAGGCAGCUUACUAUGCGAUGAUUGACGCUGAGGCACGAAAGCGUGGGGAGCAAACAGG
This 424-nucleotide ribosomal RNA is filed under the name uncultured bacterium. RNAcentral's name for it is "bacterial SSU rRNA". It matches the Rfam family "Bacterial small subunit ribosomal RNA", at positions 355 to 776 of the family's 1533-position model. The record is from RNAcentral.